GUGGGGAAUCUUGCGCAAUGGGCGAAAGCCUGACGCAGCCAUGCCGCGUGAAUGAUGAAGGUCUUAGGAUUGUAAAAUUCUUUCACCGGGGACGAUAAUGACGGAACCCGGAGAAGAAGCUCCGGCUAACUUCGUGCCAGCAGCCGCGGUAAUACGAAGGGGGCUAGCGUUGCUCGGAAUUACUGGGCGUAAAGGGCGCGUAGGCGGACAGCUUAGUCAGAGGUGAAAGCCCAGGGCUCAAGCUUGGAAGUGCAUUUGAUACUGGCUGUCUUGAGUUUGGGAGAGGUGAGUGGAACUCCGGGUGUAGAGGUGAAAUUCGUAGAUAUUCGGAAGAACACCAGUGGCGAAGGCGACUCACUGGCCCAAUACUGACGCUGAGGCGCGAAAGCGUGGGGAGCAAACAGGAUUAGAUACCCGGGUAGUCC
Molecule: ribosomal RNA, 425 nt
Filed under: uncultured bacterium
Lineage: Bacteria
Description: partial 16S ribosomal RNA
Rfam family: Bacterial small subunit ribosomal RNA
Source: RNAcentral